Molecule: non-coding RNA, 1818 nt
Organism: Myodes glareolus (Bank vole)
Lineage: Eukaryota; Metazoa; Chordata; Mammalia; Rodentia; Cricetidae
Source: RefSeq, a predicted model, not a curated record
UAGAGAUUAGGACAGAGGGGAGUGUUAAACGUUGUAACACAAAUAUGAAAUGAGGUUGACUGGGUAAGUUUCACGGAGGAACUGGAUUACCAAGAGGAGAAAGGCACACAGGAGAAGAAUCAGGGAAGUGACCAGGCACAGUGAUAUAAACCUCUAGUCCCAUCAUGGAGAGGCUGCAGGAGACCCGGUGACUGGAAUCGGUACAAGAAAUCGCAAAGCUGCCUAGGCUUUUAUUCCUUAACAUUUCAAGACUGUGUCCAUUAAAUGCAAGCAAAACAGGAAGAAGUAUUGGCAGGACAGGAGAAGUGACGUAUCCAGAGGGUCCUUACUAAAGAUGUUGCUGAGCCGUAGAAGGUCAACAAAGUCCCAGCCACAGAAGCGUCGAGAGCAUGGACGAGGCUACUUGCUGUGGAUAGCAUUUAAGUCUGUCAGCUUAUCAAGUGUACAACACUUCUGUCUUGUACUCUUACUGUGUGGCAAACUUAAAACCAACAGGAGUUGGUUUUAACUCUCUGAAGGGAUAGAUCCCCAGUGCGUCCCCCCCCCAUCGUCACUUCCCAGGUGAGCCCACAUUGCUGAUUGGAUAUUGUGGGAGUGACCGUGAAUUCUGAAGUCAGGUCAUAAAUGGCACUGCUGCUUCCAUCUUGUAUCUUAAGUCACUUGCUCUGAUGGGAGCUGGCUGCUAACACAGCCCUGUGGCAUGGUCGCUGAGGGGUUGACUUCUCCGACCCACAGCCAGCAGCGGCUUGCUUGUGACUCACCAAACUGGAAAGCAGAUUUGAGAGCUCUAGACAGGCCUUCAGAUAACCACAUCCCUGGCCCACAUUUCAACAGUGGUCUCCCAAGAGACACUGACUCAAAACUAACCACAUUUAUCUCCUUGUCCCCUCACAGAGACCCCCAAACAAUAAAAUUCUUUCAAAGUCCUUAUCUAUAGGACUGUGUAUCUGUGUACAUUUUGGGGUACAUAGGAAUGAAUAACUGAUGAAUGAUCACACAGGGCUGCCUAGAGGCUCAAAGGGCAGAAGCUUUUGCCACCAAGCCUGUGUUUGAACCCUAGGACCUAUGAGGUAGGAGAAUUGCAAUCUGUUUCUGACCUCAAACACACAUCAAGGCUUGGGACAAGGGGGCCAUAGUGAUACCCACACAAGCACUGCAGCAUAGGGUGGGAGGAGGGCAGGGGCACAUCUACAUAUGCGCUAUGGCUUCUUCCCACCCUAAAGUCUUUCACUCUUGUUUGAGUUGGGUUGGUUUGGAUCAGAGUCAGUAUAAGUGGAUCUGUCUGGCUUCAAACUCACUAUGUAGCCCCAGCUGGCUCAUACUGACAGGAACUUCUUGCCCUCAGUACAGGUAUUCUAGUACAGAACUCUACAUAUUGCUCUCUUAAAAAAAAACUUUUUUUAAAAUUUGUCCUUCCUUCCCUUUUUCUCUUUCUUUGUGAGUGUACAGUGCCUCCGCACGUGUGUGGAGGUCAGAAAACAGCCUUCUGAAGUGAGUUCUCUCCUCCUGCCUCCCGGGCUCCGGAAACGAAACCACCAGGCCCCAGCGCCAUCUUGUUGACCUUCUUUUCCCGUUCUUUCUCUCAUAACGGCCCAUAAUUCUACAGAGACACAAAAUUACACUGAAUCCAGUAUUUUACAGUCCUAAGUCUUGUGACUGAUAGUCUACUGGCCCAUCUCGUUACAACAGCUCCCACUUGACCAGAUUAAAAGUUUGUCUUUUACUUUAUUCGAUACAUUUUUGUCUUUUGACUAUGUGUUUGUCUGUGUACCAAUUGUGGGGUGAAAUAAUCUUUUUUUUUUUUUGCACACUGUGAAU